AUUGAACGCUGGCGGCAGGCUUAACACAUGCAAGUCGAGCGGGGGAAGGUAGCUUGCUACCGGACCUAGCGGCGGACGGGUGAGUAAUGCUUAGGAAUCUGCCUAUUAGUGGGGGACAGCAUCUCGAAAGGGAUGCUAAUACCGCAUACGUCCUACGGGAGAAAGCAGGGGAUCUUCGGACCUUGCGCUAAUAGAUGAGCCUAAGUCGGAUUGGCUAGUUGGUGGGGUAAAGGCCUACCAAGGCGACGAUCUGUAGCGGGUCUGAGAGGAUGAUCCGCCACACUGGGACUGAGACACGGCUCAGACUCCUACGGGAGGCAGCAGUGGGGAAUAUUGGACAAUGGGGGGAACCCUGAUCCAGCCAUGCCGCGUGUGUGAAGAAGGCCUUAUGGUUGUAAAGCACUUUAAGCGAGGAGGAGGCUACUCUAGUUAAUACCUAGGGAUAGUGGACGUUACUCGCAGAAUAAGCACCGGCUAACUCUGUGCCAGCCGCCGCGGUAA
RNAcentral lists this ribosomal RNA (501 nucleotides) under uncultured bacterium. RNAcentral's name for it is "partial 16S ribosomal RNA". It matches the Rfam family "Bacterial small subunit ribosomal RNA", at positions 30 to 523 of the family's 1533-position model. The record is from RNAcentral.